Long non-coding RNA from Folsomia candida, 324 nucleotides. RefSeq lists it as uncharacterized. The transcript has 3 exons. NCBI's taxonomy places the organism in Eukaryota, Metazoa, Arthropoda, Collembola, Entomobryomorpha, Isotomidae. The record is from RefSeq and is a predicted model, not a curated record.
UUUUCGUCGAUUUUAGGCUGGAGUUUUAACGGAGAAUCGGCAAACAAAGGAAGUUUUAGAAAUUCGUGGUCCAAGAGAUCAGUUGCCGAGUACCGAGAAUGCUCAAUUGGAGUCUGGCGGGAGCACGUUAGGAAUUUCGGGAGGAUUUUGAACACAGCUUCCAUUGAUUACGCUAAGUAGAAUUACACCAAAUCGAUUUUGCGUUCAACGCCAUAAUCAGUUAUUCUGACACAACCUGCAAUUCAAAUUAAACAUCAAUAACCAACAAUGUUUAUACUUACUCUACGAACUAAUGCAAAAAAUGAGGAAUUUACCCGAGCUGUC